AGCCAUGUCACCCUGCAACUCACAACUGGCAACCCACUGAAGCUAAGCAGGUGUGAGCCUGGUCAGUACCUGGAUGGGAGACCUCCUUGGGAAAACUAAGGUUGCU
RNAcentral lists this ribosomal RNA (106 nucleotides) under Lepisosteus oculatus (spotted gar). Lineage: Eukaryota; Metazoa; Chordata; Actinopteri; Semionotiformes; Lepisosteidae. The record is from RNAcentral.